This 253-nucleotide ribosomal RNA is filed under the name uncultured bacterium. RNAcentral describes it as "partial 16S ribosomal RNA". It matches the Rfam family "Bacterial small subunit ribosomal RNA", at positions 524 to 776 of the family's 1533-position model. The record is from RNAcentral.
UACGGGGGGAGCAAGCGUUGUUCGGAUUUACUGGGUGUAAAGGGCGCGUAGGCGGGGGGGUAAGUCGGGUGUGAAAUCCCUCGGCCCAACCGAGGAACUGCGCCCGAGACUGCUUCUCUUGAGUCCCGGAGAGGAAGAUGGAAUUCCCGGUGUAGCGGUGAAAUGUGUAGAGAUCGGGAGGAACACCGGUGGCGAAGGCGGUCUUCUGGACGGUGACUGACGCUGAGGCGCGAAAGCCAGGGGAGCAAACGGG